Molecule: signal recognition particle RNA, 104 nt
Filed under: Clavibacter michiganensis subsp. michiganensis NCPPB 382
Lineage: Bacteria; Bacillati; Actinomycetota; Actinomycetes; Micrococcales; Microbacteriaceae
Description: SRP_bact
Rfam family: Bacterial small signal recognition particle RNA
About the family: The signal recognition particle (SRP) is a universally conserved ribonucleoprotein involved in the co-translational targeting of proteins to membranes. Archaeal SRP consists of a 7S RNA and homologues of the eukaryotic SRP19 and SRP54 proteins. In most bacteria, the SRP consists of a 4.5S RNA and the Ffh protein (a homologue of the eukaryotic SRP54 protein).
Source: RNAcentral
GUGUCGGCUCCUCGCGUGGUGCCAUCCAGGUGAACUCCCCCAGGGCGGAGACGCAGCAAGGGCAGCCGGGCUCUGGCAGGUGCGCGAGGGGUCUUCUCCUUUUA